This 229-nucleotide unclassified non-coding RNA is filed under the name plant metagenome. RNAcentral's name for it is "partial contains small subunit ribosomal RNA, internal transcribed spacer 1, and 5.8S ribosomal RNA". The record is from RNAcentral.
GAUCCGUAGGUGAACCUGCGGAGGGAUCAUUACAGAGUUCACGCCCUACCGGGUAGAUCUCCCACCCUAUGUUAUUAUUACUUUGUUGCUUUGGCGGGCCGUUACGCUCCGGCCCUACUACCGGCCCCGGCUGGUAAGCGCCCGCCAGAGGACCCAAAACCCAGAAUAUUAGUUUCUUCUGAGUACUAUAUAAUAAUUAAAACUUUCAACAACGGAUCUCGUGGUUCUG